Molecule: ribosomal RNA, 251 nt
Filed under: uncultured bacterium
Lineage: Bacteria
Description: partial 16S ribosomal RNA
Rfam family: Bacterial small subunit ribosomal RNA
Source: RNAcentral
GACGGGUGAGUAAUGGCUGGGAACCUGCCCUGACGUGGGGGAUAACAGUUGGAAACGACUGCUAAUACCGCAUGAUGUCUACGGACCAAAGAGGGGGCUUCUCUUUUCUUCGGAAUAGGGGACCUCUCGCGUCGGGAUGGGCCCAGUUGGGAUUAGCUAGUUGGUGAGGUAAUGGCUCACCAAGGCGACGAUCCCUAGCUGGUUUGAGAGGAUGAUCAGCCACACUGGAACUGAGACACGGUCCAGACUCC